Small nuclear RNA from Eublepharis macularius, 113 nucleotides. RefSeq annotates it as U5 spliceosomal RNA. The record is from RefSeq and is a predicted model, not a curated record. The transcript has a single exon. Lineage: Eukaryota; Metazoa; Chordata; Lepidosauria; Squamata; Eublepharidae.
AUACUCUGGUUUCUCUUCAGACUGCAUAAAUCUUUCGCCUUUUACUAAAGAUUUCCGUGGAUAGGGAACCAAGGGUAGUUCUCCCCAUUAAAUAGGAUUCAGUAGGAAGAGUU